CCUACGGGCUGCAGCAGUGGGGAAUAUUGGACAAUGGGCGAAAGCCUGAUCCAGCCAUGCCGCGUGUGUGAAGAAGGCCUUCGGGUUGUAAAGCACUUUCAGUGGGGAAGAAAGCCUUGGGGCUAAUACCCUCGAGGAAGGACAUCACCCACAGAAGAAGCACCGGCUAACUCCGUGCCAGCAGCCGCGGUAAUACGGAGGGUGCGAGCGUUAAUCGGAAUUACUGGGCGUAAAGCGCGCGUAGGCGGUCUGAUAAGCCGGUUGUGAAAGCCCCGGGCUCAACCUGGGAACGGCAUCCGGAACUGUCAGGCUAGAGUGCAGGAGAGGAAGGUAGAAUUCCCGGUGUAGCGGUGAAAUGCGUAGAGAUCGGGAGGAAUACCAGUGGCGAAGGCGGCCUUCUGGACUGACACUGACGCUGAGGUGCGAAAGCGUGGGUAGCAAACAGGAUUAGAUACCCAGUAGUC
RNAcentral lists this ribosomal RNA (464 nucleotides) under Vreelandella stevensii. RNAcentral describes it as "partial 16S ribosomal RNA". It matches the Rfam family "Bacterial small subunit ribosomal RNA", at positions 338 to 795 of the family's 1533-position model. The record is from RNAcentral. Lineage: Bacteria; Pseudomonadati; Pseudomonadota; Gammaproteobacteria; Oceanospirillales; Halomonadaceae.